Long non-coding RNA from Oncorhynchus tshawytscha (Chinook salmon), 4552 nucleotides. The record is from Ensembl. NCBI's taxonomy places the organism in Eukaryota, Metazoa, Chordata, Actinopteri, Salmoniformes, Salmonidae.
GAAGUAUACCCAGCAUACCUCCAGCAGAAGGAUUGGCCUGCUAGAGUUGUAAUGCGUUUGUAGCCUACAUGUGUGACUUAUAUAUAACAUUUGCUAACAUGAGUACACAUUGCAUACAAUGGUGUAAGUUUCCUUUUUUACCUUUAUAAACUCAACUUGCGUCUGUAAAUAUCUGUAUUCGUUGUACUAUUAUUAUUUCCGUAGCCUAGGCUACACUAAUGGUCACGUUCCAAGUCCUAUGCCUGUAAAGUGAUUUGAACGCCAAUCGGCUGCACUCCGGUACUGUACCUGCACCACGACAAGUUUCAAUGUUCAGUGGAGACGGAUGAAGUAAAGAAAAACAAGGAAGAACAACAAACAGUACCAGUGGCACCGAUAUGCAAAGACAAUAGAAGCUGUGGAUUCCCUACAACAUUUGUAGGUGAAAGUGUAAGAUGCACCAUACGUAUGCGUAAGUAAAGGGGGCUUCCGACUGGCUCCUGAGUGGCUCAGCGGUCUAAGGCACUGCAUCUCAGUGCUAGAGGUGUCACUACAAACACCCUGGUUUGAAUCCAGGCUGUAUCACAACCGGCCAUGAUUGGGAGUCACAUAGGGUGGCGCACAAUUGGCCCAGCGUCGUCUGGGUUUGGCCGGUGUAGGCCGUCAUUUUAAAUAAAAAUGUGUUCUUAACUGACUUGCCUAGUUAAAUAAAGGUUAAAUAAAAAUAAAAUAAAUAAAGUAUAUAGCUUGUCAUUUGGACUCAUAUAAAUGUUUUAUAAUGCAUACUAUAUGCCUUGUUUGACCUAUUAUACCAUAUUAAUUUGAAUGACAACAAGGAUAUCCAUAUCCUAAACUAGUAGUUGGUAUAAUUGAACAAAACCAAUUUGAGCAAUGAAUUACAUCAUUACAUCAAUGUGCAUGUUUCAGUGCUGAUUUUUAUUUAGAAAUAGUGUUUUUGACAUAUUUUCAACAGAAAUACAGCCACCAAUAACAUCAAGAGGACCAGAAAAGAUGGAAGAUGGAAAAGAUUUGGGAAAGAACCAUGAACCAACCAUUGAAUUAAAUUGUAAUGACGGUGCAAUUCACAUAUGUACUAACAUCAUAGAUUGUAGAUGGACUGGCUUCUUGAAAGACGUUGUAUUUGAUUGCCCGCUUGAUAAUGACAAGUUUCAAUGUUCAGUGGAGACGGAUGAAGUAAAGAAAAACAAGGAAGAACAACAAACAGUACCAGUGGCACCGAUAUGCAAAGACAAUAGAAGCUGUGGAUUCCCUACAACAUUUGUAGGUGAAAGUGUAAGAUGCACCAUACGUAUGCAAACACAACUACCAACAACAUCAAGAAAACCAGACAAUCUGAAGAAUAAAACAGAGCCAAAACACAAUAUACCCUGGUGGAUUUGGUUAAUAACUUUCCUUUGGCCUUUUGCCUUUGACAUUAGCGUUGGCAUUGAUGUUGGGAUUUGGAUUAAUCAAUGUCAGGAGAAAAAGGAUUAAUUUGAGACACGUGAUGAGGCGCAUAGAAGUGGAUGGAAUGAUAUAAAAAACAAAUGAGGAGGUAUUAUUGCAGGGGUUAACCUAUGGGUCCACUAGUAUGAGCCAUCAUCACCAUUUAGCCAGCAGGCUAUUUUAAUACUAAUCUCAUUGGGGUAAAUUAAUCAAAUGUUUUAAAAGAUAUAUAAAAUCUGCAUGGAUUAGUGUUUGCCAUCAUGUGUGACGCAGUGAUAAAACACCUGAAAGAAUGCCUACAUUAACAUACAGUACCAGUCAAAAGUUUGGAGACACCUACUCAUUCCAGGGUUUUUCUUAAUCUUUUACUAUCUUCUACAUUGUAGAGUAAUAGUAAAGAAGACAUCAAAACUUUGAAAUAACACAUAUUGAAUCAUGUAGUAAGCAAAAAAAGUGUUAAACAAAUCCAAAUAUAUUUUAGAUUUGAAAUUCUUCAAAGUAGCCACCCUUUGCCUUGAUGACAGCUUGGCACACUCUUGGCAUUCUCUCAACCAGCUUAAUGAGGAAUGCUUGAAGAAGUUCCCACAUAUGCUGAGCAGUUGUUGGCUGCUUUUCCUCCACUCUGCGGUCCCAAACAAUCUCAAUUGGGUUGAGUUCGGGUGAUUGUGGAGGACAGGUCAUCUGAUGCAGCACUCCAUCACUCUCCUUGGUCAAAUAGACCUUACACAGCUUGGAGGUGUGUUUUGGGUCAUUGUCCUGUUGAAAACAAAUGAUAGUCCCACUAACCUUACAGUGAAAUGCUUACUUACAGGCCUCUAACCAACAAUGCAGUUUAAAAAAUAUGAAUAAGAAUAAGAAAUAAAAGUAACAAGUAGUUAAAGAGCAGCAGAAAAAUAACAAUAGUGAGACUAUAUACAGGGGGUACCGGUACAGAGUCAAUGUGCGGGGGCACUGGUUAGUUGAGGUAAUAUGUACAUGUAGGUUAUUAAAGUUAUUAAAGUGACUAUGCAUAGAUAAUAACAUAGUAGCAACGGCAUAAUAGAGGGGAGGGGGGGGGCAAUGCAAAUAGUCUGGGUAGCCAUUUUAUUAGAUGUUCAGGAGUGUAAUGGUUUGGGGAUAGAAGCUGUUUAGAAGCCUCUUGGACCUAGACUUGGCACUCCGGUACCGCUUGCUGUGCGGUAGCAGGGGGGGCUGGAGUCUUUUUGGGGGGCUGGAGUCUUUAACAAUUUUAGGGCCUUCCUCUGACACUGCCUGGUAUAGAAGUCCUGGAUGGCAGGAAGCUUGGCCCCAGUGAUGUACUGGGCCAUACGCACUACCCUCUGUAAUGCCUUGCGGUCGGAGGCCGAGCAGUUGCCAUACCAGGCAAUGGUGCAACCAGUCAGGAUGCUGUUGAUGGUGCAGCUGUAAAACCUUUUGAGAAUCUGAGAACCCAUGCCAAAUCUUUUCAGUCUCCUGAGGGGGAAUAGGUUUUGUUGUGCCCUCUUCACGACUGUCUUGGUGUGCUUGGACCAUGUUAGUUUGUUGGUGAUGUGGACGCCAAGGAACUUGAAGCUCUCAACCUGCAGCUCCGUCAAUGAGAAUGGGGUCCGGUCCUCCUUUUCCUGUAGUCCACAAUCAUCUCCUUUGACUUGAUCACAUUGAGGGGGAGGUUAUUGUCCUGGCUCCACAUGAAGCUGGUUGAGCUGUCAUCAAGGCAAAGGGUGGCUACUUUGAAGAAUGUCAAAUAUAAAAUAUAUUUUGAUUUGUUUGACACUUUUGGUUACUACAUGAUUCCAUAUGUGUUAGUUACUUCAUAGUUUUGAUGUCUUCACUAUUAUCUACAAUGUAGAAAAUAGUCAAAAUUAAGAAAAACCCUGGAAUGAGUAGGUGUGUCCAAACCUUUGACUGGUACUGUACCUUAACAGAAAGUUUGAAAAUGGUUUACAGUAGUUACUACAAAUGUUAUUAUAAGGAGUAAUUAAUAUGACCGCCACAAAAUGACAUACGAUCAAAGGCUUCUCCCUCUUCUAUUGUUAGUUUAAUAAUCUGAUAAUAUGUGAAGCAUGACUCAGGUGGAACGUGGGUGGUUUCAUAACAUCCACUCACUCAAUCUACUCCCCAUGACUCAACCUUACUGUGAACUGCUGGGGCUCAAACUGGAUAUAGCUGUUUUAAUGUUUGCGACACUACUAACUACACUAACUGCAUUAAUCAUCAACUGAUAUGAGUAUUUUGACUUCAUCCUAACCCCAAUUACAAUACUUUUCAAGAUACCAAACAAAUAACAUAAUAUUUGGUUAAGAUAUGAUAAGAUGAUCAUUUUAGAAGAGAGCAAAGGACUUUUUUUGUCCAUGUCACUGGAAUGAUGGAAUGAACUUUAUUUGUCCAUACAGUGUAGUUACUGUUUUGCCUAACCCUCUCCUACCUAGGACUUAUUGUUUACUACUUUUAAAUACUAAUUGUGUUUGUGCACUUCCUCAAGAAAAUAUUUAUGUUCAAUUUUAAUUAUUGAAAUGUUUUUUUUUCUGUAAUUUAGGAUUUUAUAAUUGUGGGGAUUUCUUCUACUGUUGUUUUUGAUUUACAGUACCUACGGUGCAUUUUGUGCUUGCUUCAUUAUCCUUAUUGGGAUGCACUCAUUGCUUGAUCAUCAGCUAAAUUAUUCAAUUGUUCAUUGUAAUUCUAAUUGUCACGCCCUGGUCUUAGUAUUUUGUGUUUAUAUAUUAUUUGGUCAGGCCAGGGUGUGACAUGGGGUUAUUUUGUGUUGUGUUGUGGUAUUGGGGGUUUUAGUAGGUAUUGGGAUUGUGGCUGAGUAGGGGUGUCUAGCAUAGUCUAUGGCUGCCUGAGGUUCUCAAUCAGAGUCAGGUGAUUCUCGUUGUCUCUGAUUGGGAACCAUAUUUAGGUAGCCUGGGUUUCACUGUGUGUUUGUGGGUGAUUGUUCCUUUCUUAGUGUUUUGUAUUUCACCAGAUAGGCUGUUGUCAUUAUUUCAUUUUGUUAGAUUUGUAGUUUCUGUAUGUAUAGGUUUUCCUUCAUUAAAAUAUAUCAUGAAUCAUCAUCACGCUGCAUUUUGGUCCGAUCCUUGUUCUACCUCUUCGUCAGAGGAGGAGAUAGAAGAGAGCCGUUACACUAAUGUUACAUUUUAGAUUGUUC